GGGAACAUAUUUUAGGCGCCCUAAUUUAGGUGUCCAGAUUUCAGUCCUUUUCCUCUGUUUCUCUCUUGCAAAGACAACUUCACCUCCUCACUUCAUCAAAGUCUCUCACCACACGUCCGUCGCACAUCGCCGCUACCGCAAAUCACCAUCGCCACCGCCGCAGUACAAAUAGGGGCCAGAGAGUUGAACUGGGUUUGAGAAAAAAAAAGGGUGGUGUUUUAUUGGCAAGAGGAUGUUGCUGAAGUUCUUUUGACCUGGUUUGGUUUUAAAAACCCUCUAAUUUUCUUUCUGUAAUAAUUAUUUUUGUCUUGUUCCAGAACAUCUCAGUUUGAUUCGUUUGGUUGGUGGAAUUAAUGGGGAAGGCCAUCCACUCUAGUGCACUGUGAGUAGUAGUCGGGAAGGUCAGUCCUACUUCUGAAAUUGUUUUGCAGAUUUGGUCUUGAGUAUGACCUGGAUCUUUUCAAUAUUGUUGUUGUUCCAGAUUUUAACAUGAUAUUGCGGUUGCUGAUUUUGCUCCAACUCACCCCAUAAGGUUGGGUCUGGCACUCAACUUCUCGAUUUUCUACUAUGAGAUUCUAAAUGCAUCAGAGAAAGCUUGUAGCAUGGCUAAAUAGAUGAUUUUUGGCAUGGAAUUGUAGAUAUUCCUUUUUUGUUCUUUCUUUCUCUAGGGUUCUAUGAGAUCGUAUCUGGGGGGACAAAUAUCUAAUCAAGGUGCUCAGUCCGCCAGAUCGGAGCUAGGAGCGUGGGUUAGACUCCAGUUUUGUCAAGCCAGCCUUUGUGCCUCACUGAGAGUUUUUCUUGACAAAGCACUGAAGGAACUGGAGGUUAGGUGACCCUAAGUUUUUGCUGGUUUGGGUGAUCCUGAGUUUCUUGACAAAGCACUAUGAAUCAUUUGCCUUUCACUUCCCUUUCAAAUUCUAAUGGUAUUUUUUGCAGGCCAUUGAUUUAGGUGAACCAUACCAUGCACUUCAUUUACAAUAACAUGUUGUCUAUUUGAUCACAAUAAUUUGCAAAAUUGCUUUUGCGUGGGCUCUUGUGGAUAUUUAUUUUUGUGUACGAAGAGCGUUUGUUCUGUAUAUGGAAAACAUUUAUUUUUGUACAAUUCUUUGUUUUGGAAAUCCAUUGUUUUUGUAUGUAAUAUUUAAUUUAGAUAGAUUAUACUUGGUUGGUGUUGAUGUAGAUUUAUAUGAUAAUGAAAUGAGUAAUAUUAUUUAUAAUGGA
This is a long non-coding RNA of Camellia sinensis, 1221 nucleotides long. RefSeq lists it as uncharacterized. Lineage: Eukaryota; Viridiplantae; Streptophyta; Magnoliopsida; Ericales; Theaceae. The record is from RefSeq and is a predicted model, not a curated record.